GCGGGCGUGGCGAAACUGGUAGACGCACUAGACUUAGGAUCUAGUGCCGCAAGGCGUGGGGGUUCGAGUCCCUUCGCCCGCA
Molecule: transfer RNA, 82 nt
Filed under: Butyricimonas synergistica
Lineage: Bacteria; Pseudomonadati; Bacteroidota; Bacteroidia; Bacteroidales; Odoribacteraceae
Also listed under: 18 other names
Description: tRNA-Leu
Rfam family: tRNA
About the family: Transfer RNA (tRNA) molecules are approximately 80 nucleotides in length.
Source: RNAcentral